CCUUUGACGUUAGCGGCGGACGGGUGAGUAACACGUGGGUAACCUACCUAUAAGACUGGGAUAACUUCGGGAAACCGGAGCUAAUACCGGAUAAUAUUUCGAACCGCAUGGUUCGAUAGUGAAAGAUGGUUUUGCUAUCACUUAUAGAUGUACCCGCGCCGUAUUAGCUAGUUGGUAAGGUAACGGCUUACCAAGGCGACGAUACGUAGCCGACCUGAGAGGGUGAUCGGCCACACUGGAACUGAGACACGGUCCAGACUCCUACGGGAGGCAGCAGCC
This 279-nucleotide ribosomal RNA is filed under the name uncultured Staphylococcus sp. RNAcentral describes it as "partial 16S ribosomal RNA". It matches the Rfam family "Bacterial small subunit ribosomal RNA", at positions 83 to 355 of the family's 1533-position model. The record is from RNAcentral. Lineage: Bacteria; Bacillati; Bacillota; Bacilli; Caryophanales; Staphylococcaceae.